UAAGGAAUAUUGCGCAAUGGGGGAAACCCUGACGCAGCAACGCCGCGUGGAGGAUGACACUUUUCGGAGCGUAAACUCCUUUUAUCAGGAAAGAAUAAUGACGGUACCUGAUGAAUAAGCACCGGCUAACUCCGUGCCAGCAGCCGCGGUAAUACGGGGGGUGCAAGCGUUACUCGGAAUCACUGGGCGUAAAGCACGCGUAGGCGGAUUAUCAAGUCUUUUGUGAAAUCUAGUGGCUUAACCACUAAACUGCUUAGGAAACUGAUAGUCUAGAGUAGGGGAGAGGUAGAUGGAAUUCUUGGUGUAGGGGUAAAAUCCGUAGAGAUCAAGAAGAAUACCCAUUGCGAAAGCGAUCUGCUGGAACCUAACUGACGCUGAGGCGUGAAAGCGUGGGUAGCAAACAGG
This 405-nucleotide ribosomal RNA is filed under the name bacterium. RNAcentral's name for it is "partial 16S ribosomal RNA". It matches the Rfam family "Bacterial small subunit ribosomal RNA", at positions 355 to 776 of the family's 1533-position model. The record is from RNAcentral.